Molecule: ribosomal RNA, 253 nt
Filed under: uncultured bacterium
Lineage: Bacteria
Description: partial 16S ribosomal RNA
Rfam family: Bacterial small subunit ribosomal RNA
Source: RNAcentral
UACGGAGGGGGCUAGCGUUGUUCGGAAUUACUGGGCGUAAAGCGCGUGUAGGCGGGCCGUUAAGUCGGGGGUGAAAGCCUAGAGCUCAACUCUGUAAUGGCCUUCGAUACUGGCGGACUGGAGCAUGAUAGAGGCGAGUGGAAUUGCGAGUGUAGAGGUGAAAUUCGUAGAUAUUCGCAGGAACACCAGUGGCGAAGGCGACUCGCUGGAUCAUUGCUGACGCUGAUACGCGAAAGCGAGGGGAGCAAACAGG